CUGGGUGCGCCAGUCGCUGAAAAUUUUACACUAAGCGACAGCUUUCACAGGGUAUCUCGAGUCCCAUUUGCUUAGGAAGGCUUUUUCCCAUGUGCAGAAUAGCGGGCGAAUAAGGAGAGGGCAAUUCGGGUAUCACUCGCCGCGGUAAUAAUCACGUCUCGGAGCGGUGCGGAUGUUUCUUGGCCGUAAAGUAUCUGUAGGUGGGUAGCUUAGUCCCCUGUUAAUAUCCUCAAGAGAUUAAUAGUUUUCUGCCGGGGACAUUAAUUGCCUAUCGGCUGUGAGAGUCAGGAGGUAUUUAGUGUGUAGGGGAAAAAUCCCAUAAUACCUGGAAGAUCUCCCAUGGGGAAGGUUGUGUCGUAGAACGAGCCUUUCGGUGAGGGAAGAAAGGUUGGGGAUCGAACCGGAUUAGAUACCCGGGUAGUUCCAGCCGUUAAUGAUGCAGCCUUGGUGUUUGGUCGGUCUUAGUGCCCUUCUACUGCCACAGGGAAGCGAUGAACUUUGACGUCCUCGGGAGUGCGGUCGCAAGCGUGAAACAUAAAGG
RNAcentral lists this ribosomal RNA (541 nucleotides) under uncultured archaeon. RNAcentral describes it as "bacterial SSU rRNA". It matches the Rfam family "Archaeal small subunit ribosomal RNA", at positions 326 to 862 of the family's 1478-position model. The record is from RNAcentral.